RNAcentral lists this ribosomal RNA (775 nucleotides) under Brevundimonas sp. FS-YC6705. RNAcentral's name for it is "bacterial SSU rRNA". It matches the Rfam family "Bacterial small subunit ribosomal RNA", at positions 49 to 870 of the family's 1533-position model. Lineage: Bacteria; Pseudomonadati; Pseudomonadota; Alphaproteobacteria; Caulobacterales; Caulobacteraceae. The record is from RNAcentral.
AGCUACCAUGCAAGUCGAACGGACCCUUCGGGGUUAGUGGCGGACGGGUGAGUAACACGUGGGAACGUGCCUUUAGGUUCGGAAUAGCUCCUGGAAACGGGUGGUAAUGCCGAAUGUGCCCUUCGGGGGAAAGAUUUAUCGCCUUUAGAGCGGCCCGCGUCUGAUUAGCUAGUUGGUGAGGUAAUGGCUCACCAAGGCGACGAUCAGUAGCUGGUCUGAGAGGAUGACCAGCCACAUUGGGACUGAGACACGGCCCAAACUCCUACGGGAGGCAGCAGUGGGGAAUCUUGCGCAAUGGGCGAAAGCCUGACGCAGCCAUGCCGCGUGAAUGAUGAAGGUCUUAGGAUUGUAAAAUUCUUUCACCGGGGACGAUAAUGACGGUACCCGGAGAAGAAGCCCCGGCUAACUUCGUGCCAGCAGCCGCGGUAAUACGAAGGGGGCUAGCGUUGCUCGGAAUUACUGGGCGUAAAGGGCGCGUAGGCGGACAUUUAAGUCAGGGGUGAAAUCCCAGAGCUCAACUCUGGAACUGCCUUUGAUACUGGGUGUCUUGAGUGUGAGAGAGGUAUGUGGAACUCCGAGUGUAGAGGUGAAAUUCGUAGAUAUUCGGAAGAACACCAGUGGCGAAGGCGACAUACUGGCUCAUUACUGACGCUGAGGCGCGAAAGCGUGGGGAGCAAACAGGAUUAGAUACCCUGGUAGUCCACGCCGUAAACGAUGAUUGCUAGUUGUCGGGCUGCAUGCAGUUCGGUGACGCAGCUAACGCAUUAAGCAAUCC